RNAcentral lists this long non-coding RNA (220 nucleotides) under Elaeis guineensis (African oil palm). RNAcentral's name for it is "long non-coding RNA (EGUI_LNC046576)". The record is from RNAcentral. Lineage: Eukaryota; Viridiplantae; Streptophyta; Magnoliopsida; Arecales; Arecaceae.
AGUAGUUAGGAUGUGCCAAGAUAAGUUCAAAGAUCCUCUAUAAAAUUAUAUUAAGUUCAAAGAUAAGUGUAAUAUUGAGAUUCACAUUCAAAUCAAAUAUCGAAUUCAUUUGAUCAAUUGGUGUCUAGAUAAGUGUGAAAGAUAAUUUUUUAAUUAGAUUUGUAUGCUAGCCUGGCCAACUUUAUUAGUGUCUAAGAAAAGCUACGGGGAGCCUCCCACC